AACGAACGCUUGCGGCGCGCCUAAUACAUGCAAGUCGAACGACGUAGCAAUACGGAGUGGCGCACGGGUGAGUAACGCGUGGAUAAUCUGCCUUUCAGUGGGGAAUAACUAUCCGAAAGGAUAGCUAACACCGCAUGAGACCACAGGGCCUGAGGGCCUAGGGGUUAAAAUUUAUUGCUGAAAGAUGAGUCUGCGUGGGAUUAGCUAGUUGGUGGGGUAAUGGCCUACCAAGGCAACGAUCCCUAGCUGGUCUGAGAGGAUGGCCAGCCACACUGGAACUGAGACACGGUCCAGACUCCUACGGGAGGCAGCAGUAGGGAAUGUUGCGCAAUGGGCGAAAGCCUGACGCAGCGACGCCGCGUGAGUGAUGAAGGCCUUAGGGUCGUAAAGCUCUGUUGAAUGGGAAGAAAAAAUAGACGGUACCAUUCGAGAAAGGACCGGCUAACUUCGUGCCAGCAGCCGCGGUAAU
This 469-nucleotide ribosomal RNA is filed under the name uncultured bacterium. RNAcentral's name for it is "bacterial SSU rRNA". It matches the Rfam family "Bacterial small subunit ribosomal RNA", at positions 29 to 524 of the family's 1533-position model. The record is from RNAcentral.